RNAcentral lists this ribosomal RNA (253 nucleotides) under uncultured bacterium. RNAcentral's name for it is "partial 16S ribosomal RNA". It matches the Rfam family "Bacterial small subunit ribosomal RNA", at positions 524 to 776 of the family's 1533-position model. The record is from RNAcentral.
UACGAUGGGGGCUAGCGUUGUUCGGAAUUACUGGGCGUAAAGCGCACGUGGGCGGAUUAGUAAGUCAGGGGUGAAAUCCCGGGGCUCAACCUAGGAACUGCCUUUGAUACUGCUGAUCUUGAGUCCGGAAGAGGUGAGUGGAAUUCCUAGUGUAGAGGUGAAAUUCGUAGAUAUUAGGAAGAACACCAGUGGCGAAGGCGGCUCACUGGUCCGGUACUGACGCUGAGGUGCGAAAGCGUGGGGAGCAAACAGG